GGGGAUGUGGCUCAAGCGGUAGCAGUGCUCGCCUGGCAUGCGAGCGGUUCUGGGUUCGAUCCUCAGCACCACAA
Molecule: transfer RNA, 74 nt
Filed under: Marmota monax (woodchuck)
Lineage: Eukaryota; Metazoa; Chordata; Mammalia; Rodentia; Sciuridae
Description: tRNA.Ala
Source: RNAcentral